UGGGGAAUAUUGGGCAAUGGGCGAAAGCCUGACCCAGCAACGCCGCGUGAAGGAAGAAGGUCUUCGGAUUGUAAACUUCUUUUAUGAGGGACGAAGGACGUGACGGUACCUCAUGAAUAAGCCACGGCUAACUACGUGCCAGCAGCCGCGGUAAUACGUAGGUGGCAAGCGUUAUCCGGAUUUACUGGGUGUAAAGGGCGCGUAGGCGGGGAUGCAAGUCAGAUGUGAAAUGUAUGGGCUCAACCCAUGAACUGCAUUUGAAACUGCAUUGCUUGAGUGAAGUAGAGGCAGGCGGAAUUCCCUGUGUAGCGGUGAAAUGCGUAGAGAUAGGGAGGAACACCAGUGGCGAAGGCGGCCUGCUGGGCUUUAACUGACGCUGAGGCACGAAAGCGUGGGUAGCAAACAGGAUUAGAUACCCUGGUAGU
This 425-nucleotide ribosomal RNA is filed under the name uncultured Oscillospiraceae bacterium. RNAcentral describes it as "bacterial SSU rRNA". It matches the Rfam family "Bacterial small subunit ribosomal RNA", at positions 355 to 794 of the family's 1533-position model. The record is from RNAcentral. Lineage: Bacteria; Bacillati; Bacillota; Clostridia; Eubacteriales; Oscillospiraceae.